This 447-nucleotide ribosomal RNA is filed under the name Hypselodoris variobranchia. RNAcentral describes it as "partial 16S ribosomal RNA". It matches the Rfam family "Bacterial large subunit ribosomal RNA", at positions 1830 to 2597 of the family's 2925-position model. Lineage: Eukaryota; Metazoa; Mollusca; Gastropoda; Nudibranchia; Chromodorididae. The record is from RNAcentral.
AGCUUAAGGAGAUGAAUNUGGAGUUAGACCUGCCCAAUGUAGAAGUUAUUAAUGGCCGCGGUACUUUGACCGUGCUAAGGUAGCGUAAUCAAUUGUCUUUUAAUUGGAGUCAGGUAUGAAUGGAGUAACGUGGUUCGGCUGUCUCCUAAGAAAUUAUUUGAAAUUACUAUAGAGAUGAAAAAGUCUUUAGUAAGAAAAAAGACGAGAAGACCCUUAGAGUUUUUCUAAAAACAAUUUAAUAAUUUUUUUUGCAAAAGUUUGGUUGGGGCAACUUGAGAAAAGAUAUACCAAUUUCUUUAAAAGCACAAAUCGGUUAUUUUAAAUUUGUAUAAACUACCUUAGGGAUAACAGCAUUAUGUAAAAAAUAAGUUUGUGACCUCGAUGUUGGACUGGGAAACUAUAAAGCUAGCCGUUUUUUAGGAAAGUUCUGUUCGAACUAGGAUUCCC